CAAAUUUUCUAAGUGGGCUAGC
Molecule: microRNA, 22 nt
Filed under: Lotus japonicus
Lineage: Eukaryota; Viridiplantae; Streptophyta; Magnoliopsida; Fabales; Fabaceae
Description: lja-miR7519
Source: miRBase by way of RNAcentral